AGCUUUGUGCAGUGGCAGUAUUGUAACCAAUGAGGUUUAUCGGAGGUGCGAUUAUUGCUAAUUGAAAACUUUUCCUAAUACCCCGCCAUGACGACUUGAAAAAUCUGUUAAAGAA
RNAcentral lists this small nuclear RNA (115 nucleotides) under Chinchilla lanigera (long-tailed chinchilla). RNAcentral describes it as "U4 spliceosomal RNA (ENSCLAG00000020999.1)". It matches the Rfam family "U4 spliceosomal RNA", at positions 1 to 102 of the family's 138-position model. From Rfam's summary of the family: U4 small nuclear RNA (U4 snRNA) is a component of the major U2-dependent spliceosome. The structure of U4 snRNA from yeast and human has been reported. U4 snRNA presents a k-turn RNA motif in the 5p-SL related to recognition of Snu13 protein. Lineage: Eukaryota; Metazoa; Chordata; Mammalia; Rodentia; Chinchillidae. The record is from RNAcentral.